GACUGACCAACUAAUCCUAGUGGCUCUGGGUCAGGUUACGAAUUGUAUUAGAUUGAUUUGAGCUCUAUCGUCCCAUCCUCUAACUAAACUAGUCCACCAGUGAAGGUAGACAACUUACUAAGUAGAGUCUCUAAUGUUAGCAAGAUCCGCUACGCUAUUGAAAGGCUCUUAGUUGCUUAUCUGGAUUAUAAAAAGGUGUAACUGCU
RNAcentral lists this long non-coding RNA (206 nucleotides) under Gossypium barbadense (sea-island cotton). RNAcentral's name for it is "long non-coding RNA (GBAR_LNC005402)". The record is from RNAcentral. Lineage: Eukaryota; Viridiplantae; Streptophyta; Magnoliopsida; Malvales; Malvaceae.